This 1210-nucleotide long non-coding RNA is filed under the name Phasianus colchicus (ring-necked pheasant). RNAcentral's name for it is "lncRNA (ENSPCLG00000004320.1)". Lineage: Eukaryota; Metazoa; Chordata; Aves; Galliformes; Phasianidae. The record is from RNAcentral.
CACUCCUUUUCCCUUACACAAGGGAAAAAAGGUCAUGACACAGAAGAUAGAUAUACUAAACCAUAUGUUCCCUUCUGUUUCUGUGAGUGGAAGAGAGCAGACAGCUGCACAUCCCAGCAACGGGAUAGAUCCACAGUAAGGAUUGCCAACUCGACACUGCCUUUCAGUGCUACACUGAAACAAUUCUCUAACUCUGGAAGGACCAACGUAUGCCAUACCCCUGUGAUGAUUUGGCAUUCCUUUCUUUGUAAGGCAGAGAAUCGUCCUCCAAUGUUGAUGUCAUCCUUGCCAGAUUCUGUGAGUUUAUUUCAAUGACUUUGCCAGGGCAGAUAGCAGGGAACAGUCAGUAAUGCUUGCUGCUGACAGUGAUUAUAUUCUACAUGAUUUUCACUAGAAACACAGUUUUUUUGCUGGUAUCCCAUUGAGCUGGAGAUACGAACAGCAGGAUACUUCAUCUUGAAAAGAUGUGCAGGCAAAUAGUUUGAGAAAGGAGCAAGGAGCUUUGCAGUCUGAAGCUGCCAGUACUUCUUGUUUUUCUGCUGUAAGGGAUAGUUCUUCUUAACCACAGCUAACUAUUAAUUUUAACUUGAAGCAUGAGGGUACAUAGUCCCUUUGACAAUAAUUUUUAUAAAGUGGAGAACACUGCUAGGAAAUGAACUCAGUCUACUCAUGUAGGCCACGAAGCCAUGGCUUUUCUGAUAUGUUCAGGUUCACAAAUGAUUUAAUUCCCUUGAGUUUCCUUGACAUUUUUAAUUAACAUUUCCUGUGUUGGUACUCCGAUUUUAUUGAAAAUGACAAAGAUUUCUUGGCACUUAGUUGUUUUUUUUUUUUUUAAACCAGGGCUGCUUUAUAACCAUCAUGUAGUGUAAGAGAACUCUGAAGUAAGUGUAAAUGACAUCACUUUAACAAUGUAAAGGAAACUUUGGUGGCUAUGAGAGUAUUUGUAUUUCUUUUUUUUUUUCUUUUUUUUUUUUAAAUUUCAGCUUUGUGUGUAACUGAAGACAGGAUGACAAGCAAGGGGAAUUUCUGCAUUCUUUAAAGGAAAUUAUUUUCAGAUAUGAGUACUACCGACAUUGUCAAGAGACCUGUCAAGCAUUAUUUUCAGAAUUUUUCUGUGGCAUCUCUUUUACUCUAUGGACCUCCUUCUGUAGGAAGGAGAUAUCAAAAAAGGAAAACCUGAAAAGCUGGAAAAACGAGAUACUUGCUGGUG